AACGAACGCUGGCGGCGUGCCUAACACAUGCAAGUCGAACGCGAAAGUGGUUUUCGGACCGCGAGUAGAGUGGCGCACGGGUGAGUAACGCGUAGAUAAUCUACCCCUGUGUCUGGGAUAACAUCGCGAAAGUGGUGCUAAUACCGGAUACGCUUUUUUGACCGCGAGGUUAAAAGAGUAAAGAUGCCCUCUGAUUCAAGGUAUCGCAUGGGGAUGAGUCUGCGUACCAUUAGCUAGUAGGUGGGGUAACGGCCUACCUAGGCUGCGAUGGUUAGCGGGUCUGAGAGGAUGAUCCGCCACACUGGAACUGGAACACGGACCAGACUCCUACGGGAGGCAGCAGUGAGGAAUUUUGCGCAAUGGGGGAAACCCUGACGCAGCGACGCCGCGUGGGUGAGGAAGGUCUUCGGAUCGUAAAGCCCUGUCGGGUGGGAAGAAGUGUGCAACGGUUAAUACCCGUUGCAUUUGACGGUACCACCAAAGGAAGCACCGGCUAACUCCGUGCCAGCAGCCGCGGUAAUACGGAGGGUGCAAGCGUUGUUCGGAAUUACUGGGCGUAAAGGGCGCGUAGGCGGCCAAUCAAGUCAGUUGUGAAAUCCCACGGCUCAACCGUGGAGGUGCAAUUGAAACUGGUUGGC
RNAcentral lists this ribosomal RNA (638 nucleotides) under uncultured bacterium. RNAcentral's name for it is "bacterial SSU rRNA". It matches the Rfam family "Bacterial small subunit ribosomal RNA", at positions 28 to 641 of the family's 1533-position model. The record is from RNAcentral.